This 437-nucleotide ribosomal RNA is filed under the name uncultured Anaerolineaceae bacterium. RNAcentral describes it as "bacterial SSU rRNA". It matches the Rfam family "Bacterial small subunit ribosomal RNA", at positions 28 to 458 of the family's 1533-position model. The record is from RNAcentral. Lineage: Bacteria; Bacillati; Chloroflexota; Anaerolineae; Anaerolineales; Anaerolineaceae.
GAUGAACGCUGGCGGCGUGCUUAAUACAUGCAAGUCGAACGAAGAGCCUUUGCAGCAAUGCGAGGGUUUCUUAGUGGCGAACAGGUGCGUAACGCGUUGGUGACCUGCCCCAAAGUGUGGGAUAACAGUUCGAAAGGACUGCUAAUACCGCAUGUGGUCAUCGGGUUUAGAAGCCGAUGACUAAAGCAGUAAUGCGCUUUGGGAGGGACCUGCGUCCCAUCAGCUAGUUGGUGAGGUAACGGCCCACCAAGGCUUCGACGGGUAGGGGACCUGAGAGGGUGGUCCCCCACACUGGCACUGAAACACGGGCCAGACACCUACGGGUGGCAGCAGUAGGGAAUAUUGGGCAAUGGGCGAAAGCCUGACCCAGCAACGCCGCGUGCACGAUGAAGGUCUUCGGAUCGUAAAGUGCUUUUCUGAGAGAUGAGAAAGGACAG